GUUUCCGAAACCAUUAUUAAGAUAGUCUUGAUAAUAUAUGUCUAAAACUAUGAAUCACAAGACAUGUAAGUUAUAGAGAUCCAUCCAUCAUGGAUCUUAGCAAGCUAGUGGGAGCUAUAAGCGUCUUAUGAGAGAAAGAUCAAAUCGUUUGAUUUCUCAUAAAGAUGUAAAUGAAUCUUUUGUUUACUAGGUUUACAAAAGAUUAGUGGGAGUUAAUCAUAUUCCUAAAUUUGUGUAUAUAUAUAUAUAUGAUAUAUUAAUUUUGGAAAUGAAAAGAAUACUUCUUCGUUAAAGUUAUGACUUUAAACAUUCUAUAAUGAUAGAAUGUAUAUGGGAGACAUAGUCUAAAUACAUGGGAUAGAAAUCUAUAAUGAUAUAUUUCAAGAUAUAAUUCGAUUAUAUCAAUCCCUAAUAAUAGACAAUAGAUGCUAGGAAGUUUCUCAUAUGAUGAUAAACUUCAAUUAGAAGGACGACUCUAGUGAGACUAGCAAGUUGCCAUUCUCAAAGGGAACGUGCCUUUUAACUCCCAAAGAAAUAAUGCAUAAAUAGAAUCCUUUAUGCAUACGUAGAAAGGUGAUUUAUGAAUUUCAUAUUGUAUGAAAACAUUGAUAUGAGUUGUACCUAGACAGGUACAAGACGAUAUCAGUGCAAGCCCAGGAUCAGAACCACGACAACUGCCAAGUGAAUCCUUAAGUAUUUAAGAAAUACUAAAGGAUAAAUUCCUCAAAGAAUGAGGAAGAAUUAGAGUAACGUAAAGGAAGCGUAAAUGUAUUAGAUUAUGAAUCUAAUCCAUCAUUGGAUGUUUCUUCAUUAUGAAUGAAGAGAUAAUCAGAUAUCUUUUUAUUAUGACUAAAGAGAUAUUUGGAUGGAAACAUUAAAAGUAAUAACUCUAGUGUGUUCCAUUAUGAAUGCAUAUAUAUUCCUAUAUAGAAGCUUACAAACAAUGUUGUUUGGAUAGGAAAGUUCAUUUAUGAACUCUCUAUUCGGCUCCAACCAGAAAGUGUCUCUAGUGUACCGACACUACGACACUAAUGGGGCGAUAGCUCAAGCCAGGGAAUCAAGGUCUCAUCAAGAUCCGAACUCAAAUGAGAAACUGAACCACAUGAUUAAGAAUCAUGUAUAAUGGUGACGUCGUAAUUCUCAAGGUUGCUUCUAUGGAUAACAUAUAGAUAUCCAUUGUCUAGGCCUACUAUUUAGCCAUUUUUGAAAUGACUACAGAAGAGGUAUCAUCACUGAUGACCAAGCUGAUUGGCUCUAGUACAAGUGGGAGAUUGUUGGAAAUGUGCCCUAAAACCAAUCAUAUAAUGAUACUUUACGGACAUUUCACAUGUUAAACUAAUCUAGUUUAAUAUCAAGGGCAAAGAUUAUUGUUUUAAGC
This 1378-nucleotide long non-coding RNA is filed under the name Malus domestica (apple). RNAcentral's name for it is "long non-coding RNA (MDOM_LNC008232)". The record is from RNAcentral. Lineage: Eukaryota; Viridiplantae; Streptophyta; Magnoliopsida; Rosales; Rosaceae.